This 411-nucleotide long non-coding RNA is filed under the name Ananas comosus (pineapple). Its description in RNAcentral is "long non-coding RNA (ACOM_LNC006283)". Lineage: Eukaryota; Viridiplantae; Streptophyta; Magnoliopsida; Poales; Bromeliaceae. The record is from RNAcentral.
UUUUUUUUUUUGCAUUUAGCCUCUUUAAAAAAUUUAUUUUUAUAAAUAAUCUUAUCAAAUUUAUAAUUAUAAAUUUGAUCUUAUUCCUGUCACACAGAUGCCACGUAAGCAUCACGCAAGUAAGAAAAAGUGCUGAAAUAAGUUGAACAAGAUAAUUCAUUCACCGUGUCUAAACACGAUGAAUGGUUCACCGUGUCUGAAAAAAAUAUAAAUAUAUGCAUUGCGAAAAAUUAUAAGUAUUGAAAAUGAAGAAUAUGAUAAAUAUAAGUACGAAAUAAGAUGAAUCAUUCACCGUAUUUGAACACAUAAAACACGGUGAAUGAUUCAUCGUAUUCAACUUAACACCCCUCUAUUCGGCGUGGUGGUGAUGUGUCGCCUAUGUAGCCGGGAUAAAGCCAAACUUAUAAUUAU